GCCGCGGUAAUUCCAGCUCCAAUAGCGUAUAUUAAAGUUGCUGCAGUUAAAAAGCUCGUAGUUGGAUCUGGGGCUUGAGGUCGCUGUCUAUCGUUUCGGCGAUGACGGUGAUGCUCAGCUCUGCUUGCCAGUGACUGUUGCGGUGUUCUUCACUGAGCGCUGUAGCAGCACGGCACGUUUACUUUGAAAAAAUUAGAGUGCUCAAAGCGUGCUUGUCGCUUGAAUAAUGUUGCAUGGAAUAAUGGAAUAGGACCUCGGUUCUAUUUUGUUGGUUUUCGGAGCUUGAGGUAAUGAUUAAGAGGGACGAACGGGGGCAUUCGUAUUGCGGUGUUAGAGGUGAAAUUCUUGGAUCGCCGCAAGACGGACUACUGCGAAAGCAUUUGCCAAGAACGCUCUCAUUAAUUAAGAACGAAAGUCAGAGGUCCGAAGACGAUCAGACACCGUCCUAGUUCUGACCACAAACGAUGCCGACCAGCGAUCCGUAGUGGUUGCUUUAUGGACCCUACGGGCAGCCUCCGGGAAACCAAAGUAUUUGGGUUCCGGGGGAAGUAUGGUUGCAAAGCUGAAACUUAAAGGAAUUGACGGAAGGGCACACCAGGAGUGGAGCCUGCGGCUUAAUUUGACCCAACACGGGAAAACUCACCCGGUCCGGACACCGUAAGGAUUGACAGACUGAUAGCUCUUUCUUGAUUCGGUGGAUGGUGGUGCAUGGCCGUUCUUAGUUGGUGGAGUGAUUUGUCUGGUUAAUUCCGAUAACGAACGAGACUCUAGCCUGCUAAGUAGUGUUGCUAUUGUUAUAUGGUUGACACUUCUUAGAGGGACAAGUGGCAUUUAGCCACGCGAAAUUGAGCAAUAACAGGUCUGUGAUGCCCUUAGAUGUCCGGGGCCGCACGCGCGCUACACCGGAGAAGUCAGCGUGUGUUAUCCAAGUCCGAAAGGACUGGGUAACCCGUUGAACCUUCUUCGUGCUUGGGACUGUGGCUUGGAACUAUUCCACAUGAACGAGGAAUUCCUAGUAAUUGCAAGUCAUAAGCUUGCGUUGAUUACGUCCCUGCCCUUUGUACACACCGCCCGCCGCUACUACCGAUUGAAUGGUUUAGCAAGGUCCUCGGAUCGUGGCCGUAGGGGCACGCAAGUGUUUCUGCGGUUUGCGAGAAGACGACCAAACUUGAUCAUUUAGA
Molecule: ribosomal RNA, 1181 nt
Filed under: metagenome
Description: SSU rRNA
Rfam family: Eukaryotic small subunit ribosomal RNA
Source: RNAcentral